This 487-nucleotide ribosomal RNA is filed under the name uncultured bacterium. RNAcentral describes it as "bacterial SSU rRNA". It matches the Rfam family "Bacterial small subunit ribosomal RNA", at positions 33 to 507 of the family's 1533-position model. The record is from RNAcentral.
GAGGACGACGCUGGCGGCGUGGAUUAGGCAUGCAAGUCGAACGGUAUCAUCCUUUCGGGGGUGAGAGAGUGGCGAACUGGUGAGUAACACGUAGGUUAUCUACCCUCAAGACGGGACAACCCGGGAAACUUGGGCUAAUACCGGAUGUGAGCAACUUUUAGUUGUUUGAAAGGUGGCGUAAGCUGUCGCUUGGGGAUGAGCCUGCGUCCUAUUAGUUAGUUGGUGAGGUAACGGCUCACCUAGGCAAUGAUAGGUAGGCGGCCUUAACGGGUGGUCGCCCACACUGGGAUUGAGAUACGGCCCAGACUCCUACGGGAGGCAGCAGUCGAGAAUAGUCUACAAUGGUCGGAAGACUGAUAGUGCGACGCCGCGUGAACGAUGAAUCCCUUCGGGGUGUAAAGUUCUUUUAUAUGUGAGCAGUGCUUCUUAUAUUAACAGUAUGGGGAGAGAGAUAUUAGCAUAUGAAUAAGCAACGGCUAACUCCGUG